CCUCUGGACUGGAAGAAGAGGGUAGAGAAGAAUCAGAAGCAGGGAAAUGCUGGAGCUCUUGGAACCAACCCAACAGACAUUCAGUGGAAUGUACAGGAGGAAGAACAUACACAUCUGCUCACCGUGGGAAAGAUAGCUUUCAUUCUACAACUGUAUUUUGAACAUGGUGAUAAUGGUUGGAGAGAAAGUCCUGAAAACACUCCCUUUGAUCUUGAAGACCUGUGAGAAUGUUAGAGGUCAACGAAUGAGGAGCAAGGGGGAGAGAAUGGAAGAGACGGCAAUCUUUUAUCAGCACCAUGGACAGCAGCCAAGCAGUCAUGAUGAAUCAAUUGUAAGUCCCCAAAGGUGUGAUUUUCUCUCACUUCUGGGACAUUGCCAACACCGCCCUCUGGCUGAAGCUCUCCUCCACUCUGAUUCACCAGCUAGUUCCUGCUACACCUUCAGGCUCCUGACUGAGACAGCAGGUGCAGACGUUGAGUGAGUGACCACGUGUGGAUAGUACCUCUCUUGGCAGGGCUGUGCCUGGAGAGACCUGCAUGCACAUCAGUGUAUAUUGUUG
Long non-coding RNA from Bos taurus (domestic cattle), 559 nucleotides. Lineage: Eukaryota; Metazoa; Chordata; Mammalia; Artiodactyla; Bovidae. The record is from Ensembl.